RNAcentral lists this long non-coding RNA (1466 nucleotides) under Salmo salar (Atlantic salmon). RNAcentral describes it as "lncRNA (ENSSSAG00000094381.1)". The record is from RNAcentral. Lineage: Eukaryota; Metazoa; Chordata; Actinopteri; Salmoniformes; Salmonidae.
CCUUGUCCCAUCGCGCACUAGCAACUCCUGUGGCAGGCUGGGCGCAGUGCACACUGACACAGUGUUUUGGAGGACGCACAGCUCUCAACCUUCUCCUCUCCCGAGUCUGUACGGGAGUUGCAGCGAUGAGACAAAACUGUACCAGUUGGGAGAAAACGGGGUAAAAGAAAAAGAGGUACGUGUCGUCGGGCUGUCUUCCUUCAGGAAUCUGUGGAGAAAAUUGCUGCCCAACAUUUCAAGCACUAAGCCCAGGACAGACCUGUGCUGGCAGUGCCAGAGGAACAACUAUCAGGUCGUCAAAUCUGCCAAUCUGCCAGAAGCUGUUAAGUCAGCCGAACUGAAGAAGCAAGAGCAGCAUCUCCUGCUUGUUCAGAGUGAGCGGUCUGUAUACUAGAAGAUGGUUGCUGACUGCAAGACCUGUCAAGACCUGUAGUUGUCUCUGGGGGCCCCAACUGAACCAGCAAGCAAAGACAUCAGGAUGCAUUACAGCUUUGGAUUUGCUCAACAAGUGCACUAUCCUUCUGACCCUAUGCAGCCAGAUCCCAAUCGAUUUUUUUAACUCCUCACAAGUGUGGCUUGUUUGGUGUCUGCUGUGAAGGCAUGCUGUACCUCAACAAGUCAACUACUUGAUUGAUGAAGACAUGUCAUCCAGCAAAGGCAGCAGCGCAGUCAUCAACUACAUGCACCAUUUCUUCACCAAAUGUGGAGUUCGGGAAACACGUGUGGACCUGAAUUGGGAUAACUGCAGUGGCCAAAACAAGAACAAGUUUGUGCUCUGGUAUUGUGCCUGGCAGACCAUGCACAAGCUCCACCACAGUCUGAAUCUUCACUUCCUGAUCACAGGCCACACCAAGUUUGCCCCCGACUGGUGCUUCGGCCUCAUCAAGCAACGCUUCAGAAAGACCAAAGUGAACACUGUCUGAGAUUGCUGUUGUUGUGAAUGACAGCACUGUGACAGGUCAACAUCUCACAGCUGGUUGGACUGGAGGAUUGUACGGUGUUGGUGGAAAGCUAUGGCUGGCAACAACUCCGUACUUCAGGCCGCUGCCACAGAUCAAGCAGUACCAGCACUUCAGGGGAAUGUCAUUUUCAUUGCAUUGUAUGAGGUUAUUCUUCUUAUCUAAACUUGGGAGGUGGAUUGAUGUUGUGCAAGGUUGUAAUGUCAUCUAAAUUUUUUUCAUUUUAUUUUCUGUUUUACAGCUUCAAAGCUCUGGAGCCUGGUGUUGUCACCAAGGAGCAUUCAGACUCAGUAGGGACCAGGUUUCAGCUGCUGCGCAAUUCUGACAGGGAGUUUUGCAACGAAGAGGCUAUGGACAUCACAUGCCCUGCACCAAAGGCAAGGGCAGGACAGAAACAAGCUCUCCAAAUAUUUACAUUUUAGUCAUUUAGCAGACGCUCUUAUCCAGAGCGACUUACAGUAGUGAAUGCAUACAUUUCAUACAUUUUUUGUUUGUUGUACUGGCCCC